CCCAUUCUCACUCCAAAGGCGUCAAAAACCGAAGCAUGGUCAAGCGCCCCUAGCGUCACUUUUAUGACGCCAAAUGUGCCUCUCGGCGUCGACUAUCGAAGCACUACGACCUUCAUUGCUUUCAGUGGGAAACUUUUGGCGUCAGAAUUCGACACGAGGACAUGAGAUGUUUAUCGCUAUGAAAUCACGUUCAAGAAGUCUCAUUCAGCACACAUCGCGCGAUACUUGCUAUCAGUUCCACAGUUUGGCUGAAAAGACGUAAAGGCAGUCAGCCCAGUGGUGUUUCUGGAGAGGGAUUCCUUCAGAAAUGGAGAAGACAGAAAGCUGCGGAGGCAGAUAUUUGCAGCAGAUUGUUUGAGGAUAACACUGCAGUUCUCCAUCAUGCACAAGGACUCACCUCGUUAACUCUUUAUCCCCCACACACACAGAUAUGGUCCCUGGAUCAGUGAUUAGACUUUGCAGUGGUUUGAUUUUUGCAGAAGAUGUAACUUUGUUUUAUUUAUAAGCUCAUAAUGAAUACAUUACAGAACCAGUGAUGAAAACAAUAGUUAAAAAUAGUAUUUUUCGUAUUGAUAAAGCAUUUUGUUCUCUUUUUCAAGCUUCAUACAGUGAACUUUUUAGACUUUAAUUAAGAGUUUUAGUAAAGGAGAUAUUCAUACACAGUCAUCCCCUAGCUCCAGUCAUGAAGUGAAUUCAUGAUGUUAUUGUCAAAGCUAGCAGGUGUUUGUUUUCCUGAACACUUUCUCUGUCUUCCAUUGUUCAGACAAUCAGUGUUUAUUUGAUGCUGUGCUGAUUGAGUUUUAUAGAUGAUAUUGCACACUUGACAUGCAUGUCUUCAUGGUGUUUUUUUGUGAGUUUGAAACAUUUACAUUGUGUUGUAUAACAUUUUGGUCAAUUUAAUUUUUUUAAUAAAAUUGAUCUUUUUCCAGUGUUCUCUGAAAGACAUACUGUAUUUACUGUUUUGUUUUUUAAUAAAAGCAUUUUCAUUUGCAUACUGAAAAUAGUUAAUGUUUACAACAUAACUGCCUUUUUAUUCUUUAUGGUGGCAAA
Molecule: long non-coding RNA, 1050 nt
Organism: Carassius gibelio (silver crucian carp)
Lineage: Eukaryota; Metazoa; Chordata; Actinopteri; Cypriniformes; Cyprinidae
Exons: 3
Source: RefSeq, a predicted model, not a curated record